UACGAAGGGGGCUAGCGUUGCUCGGAAUUACUGGGCGUAAAGCGCACGUAGGCGGCUUUCUAAGUCGGGGGUGAAAUCCUGGAGCUCAACUCCAGAACUGCCUUCGAUACUGGAGAGCUCGAGUCCGGGAGAGGUGAGUGGAACUGCGAGUGUAGAGGUGAAAUUCGUAGAUAUUCGCAAGAACACCAGUGGCGAAGGCGGCUCACUGGCCCGGUACUGACGCUGAGGAGCGAAAGCGUGGGGAGCAAACAGG
Molecule: ribosomal RNA, 253 nt
Filed under: uncultured bacterium
Lineage: Bacteria
Description: partial 16S ribosomal RNA
Rfam family: Bacterial small subunit ribosomal RNA
Source: RNAcentral